Oreochromis niloticus (Nile tilapia) is the source of this 3698-nucleotide long non-coding RNA. RefSeq lists it as uncharacterized. NCBI's taxonomy places the organism in Eukaryota, Metazoa, Chordata, Actinopteri, Cichliformes, Cichlidae. The record is from RefSeq and is a predicted model, not a curated record. The transcript is spliced from 2 exons.
CACGCAAACACGGGGAGAACAUGCAAACUCCACACAGAAAGACCCUGGCCUGAUGGUGGAAUUGAACUCAGGACCUUCUUGCUGUGCGGCAACAGUGCUAACCACCGUGCCACCGUGCUGCCCGAUUUAGAGCCCAUUAUCCCAUAUUUGCAAACUGAUGAGGAUUAAUCUCAUAAGUCAUGACAAAACACUCUUAAGAAAAACCCAAUCCCAGGUAAGCCAAAGAAAAUGGAUGGAGAUGAAUGGAUGGAGACUGAGCCAUCUAUUGCACGUGGGUAGGCAUGCAAGAGUAACUGGUCAACCCAGUAUAACGGCAAAACAUCUAACAGACACACCAGUUUGUUCAUGUUGGCCUAAAAUAAAAUAUUUCCCUCUGCUGUUAUUGCAGCUUAAUGCAACUUAUUGCAGCUUCUGCACGCAUGUACAUUUCACAUUUUUGAGAGGCAAAGCAUCAAAUGGACACGGUGGACCGGCGUGUCUGUUACAGGCUUUGCCGUGAUAUUGGGCUGAACUGGUUCACAUGAUAAUAGUUCCUGUAUCAUACUAAAGAGAAUUUUCUAGUUUAAUUUUUUACACUUAGUCAAGAGUUGUACUGUCUUCUGGUCUGACUGUCACUUUCAGCACUAAUCCACUGAUUAAGUAGAUUUAACAAAAUUAACAUAAUAAUUGUAUCCUUAAUUAACCUGCUCAUUAUCUAAAGGUGAAAGUUCCUGCUAAUAUUCAACAAAGACUUAUUCAAAUGACCACUUGGAGUCACUUCACAUAAAAAAGUAUAACUGUAUGUCUUCAUAAAUUGUUUGCCCUAAAGACCCAUCAGUCUGUUCUUUAGGGGAGGACAGUGGCUCAACUGUGGCCUGUGUGUUCACAGCUAUGCAUUUGCACACAUACAGGUGUGAUCUGCUCAGCAACCACUGCUGAGCUGUUGUUCUAAAACAAUCCGCUCCCACACAUGUGUGGCUCAGUGUUGGCAACAUUUUAAUGAGAACCAAUCUGCCUGUCAGUUUGAAGUGUGACUCGGUGUGACACAUUAAACUGUUAUAGCUGCAUGACUCAGUAGAGUUAUUAAAGAGAUGUUCAGAAACCUGUUCAUUUUCCAAAUGAAUGUGUGAACAGGCAAGUAUCUUGUGAAGAAAGUUUACAUGAAAAAAAAAUGUCAGCUCCGAGUCAAAAAAAAAUUCUGUGCUUACUUUUUUUCUUUCAUUUUCACUCAGUCAAUAAGUCAGUGGAUGUUUACUUAGGGCUAGUGUGAUAAAGACAGUGAUGUGAUUUUGGGUGCAUACCAAGUGUACAAAACGAGCUAAAAAAAAGCUAAAAACAAAAAAAGAUUUAAUACAGCGAUACAGAUAUCUACUCUGCAAAGUCCCCCAGAAAAGGUCUUAAGGUCAACAGUGUGCAGCGUGAAGUCUGAAUGUUGCAUUCAGUUGUCCGAGAGAUGUUUGUUUCUGUGGUUUUCCUGUGAGCAUGCUGUUCACUACAUGGUCUACAUAAUGGUUGCGGUUUGUGAAUUUUUAUCUUGUGACAUCUUUGAGAUGCACAGGCACAGUUUAAAGUUGAAGUGGAAAUUCAAAGUGCAGUUCUCUGAAAUCAAUAAUGACUGCUGCUAUAACUUCCAAAAUACUAACCCUCUAGAGUUUGCCUCCUGACUACCUAAAAGUAAACAAAAACAUAGCAAAUACCAAUUUAAUUAUAAAUAUUCAAAAAUUCACACAAUAUAACUAAGAAAAACACAAAUAAAUGUGGAUUUUUAGGUCACUCUCUUCUAAGUCGCUGUAUAUGCAACCUAUCUAUCACUCACUUGGCCGAUAGUCUGAUUUCUCAGACCUUUAAUCUAGUUUGGUGCUCAGUUCAAAUAAAAUAAUUAUAGUAGGUGAUUUAAAUACCAUAUACACGUUGAAAAUAAAAGCCUUGACACUGGACAUUGUGGCACCUCUGAAAAAGAAAACCAAUCAGAGAAGCUUGUUGCUUUCUCACAAAGGCACACCUUAAAGCAGAUAACUUAUAAGCUAGAGAGAAAAUGGUGUUGCACUAAUGCUGAAGAUCUUCAUUUGGCCUGGAAUAUAGUUUACUACUUAAAAAAACAAACAAACAAACAACAACAACCCCAAAAGGUUGAUUCUGUUCAUCUGGACGUGGCGUUUUCAGUGGGAGAAACAUUUCGUCACUCAUCCAAGUGACUUCUUCAGUCUCAGCUGACUGCAGGUUUCCCCAGCAUUAUAAACUGUCAUGGUCCCCGUGUCUUGCCGGCUGACCCUGUGCUAGGCGACGUUUUGUUUUUGUUUUUGCGUGUGCGCUCUCUCUCUCUCCUCUGCUGGGGCGGUGCUCAUUACAGGCUCUCGCCUCUGGCCCACGCACCUGUGUUCAAUCUUCACACCUGCCAUUGGUCUUCAGUAAUCCUGAGCUCUAUUUAAGAUGGCGGUUCUACACUACUCGUCGCUGGAUUGUUGAGUAAUCCGCAUUUACCCUGGACCUGCCCUUGUAACUCUGAGAGUCCCGCGAGUGAGGAGUGGCAUGAGUGUGAGUGGCUGCAAAGGAAAGCGGAGAGGAAUUCCGAGAAGAGAGGAGUGUGUGUGUGGACCCCCUUCCUGUGCCUGAGUCCAUUUAAGAACUCUGACAUAAACAGUACAUCGUACUUGGCUCUAAAUUAGUUUUCAAAACGUUUAUUGCUUAAAAAUGCUCAAAACAGUGUCAGGGAUAUAUCAUUUUGCAGAGUUAACACAUUACAGUCUACAUUUUAAAUAUUUAAAUCAGUUUACAGCUCACUGAUAAAAGUCAAAUCUAAUUACUAUUUACUAUUCAGAUGGAAAAUAAAUGAAAAAAGAAGUGUCAUUAUUUCAUUUUAAACUUUUGAAUGAGAUAUUGUUGGAUUUAGGCCCCAGAGGUAAUGAUGGCAGAACAGGUGCAAGUCUGAACUAUAGCUUUGCUCUCCGUGUAUCCUGGUGGAUUUCCACUGUACCAAAAUGUAUCUUCAUCCUGUGAAGGGACAUUUGUUCUUCACAAUCAUGAUCAUUUUGACUUCCUGUAAGUCUUUAUCGGGACUGUAAGUCUUUUCUGUAUGUCUAUCCUUUUGAUCCCGGUUGUUUUCUACGUUGCCUAAUUAUAUUUACCACUUACCCCUACCCUCUGGGUUGUAACAGUUAGGGUGAGUCAUAAUUUUAAUAGUGCUUCCCACUGUGCUGCAUCCUCAGCUUAUCAUCUUGUUUUGUACCUGAAUCCCUAAUAGGACCAGUGGAUGCAUUUCUUUGUUAAAUUGAUUUACAUUUUUCUGUAUAAUCAGUAAAGUUGCUUGUAACAGUUCUUGUACUCGACAUUUUCGACUGUUCGAUUUGUUUUUAAUGUAUUCAACAUUUUAGCAUUUACAGAUGUUUUAAAAUUAAAAUGGUGAUCCUGACUAUUACUAAUUGUAAAAAUCCACAUGUGGAAAACAAUUUCAGCUGAGUGCUUUGAUUCUUUGAUUCCUGUUGAUUUAUUGGUCAUACAGGUUUUCUGUUUUCAAAAAAUAAAGAGCAAAACAACAUAUAUAGAGAUCUUACUGACAGAUACAAUAUAUCUAAGGCUGAGUCACAGUUAUUUUGUGAAACUGGCUUGAGAUCCAGCAGGCCUUGCCAGUAAUCUUUUUUUGUAUAAUAUUAGUCUGUGAGGAUGUGUAUGAUCAAUAAAUAAUGAAGGCACAAAUGUUUACUAGUUGUUGUAUAUGUAGU